AACGGCGAGUGAAGCGGCAAGAGCUCAAAUUUGAAAUCUGGCCCCCCCCGGGGUCCGAGUUGUAAUUUGGAGAGGAUGCUUCGGGCGCCGUUCCCGUCUAAGUGCCCCUGGAACGGGCUGUCGCAGAGGGUGAGAACCCCGUCUGGGACGGGCGACGGCGCCCGUGUGAAGCUCCUUCGACGAGUCGAGUUGUUUGGGAAUGCAGCUCUAAGCGGGUGGUAAAUUUCAUCUAAAGCUAAAUACUGGCCGGAGACCGAUAGCGCACAAGUAGAGUGAUCGAAAGAUGAAAAGCACUUUGAAAAGAGAGUCAAACAGCACGUGAAAUUGUUGAAAGGGAAGCGUUGGCCCCCAGACGCGCCCGGGAGGGCUCAGCCGGCACGUGUGCCGGUGUACUCUCUCCCGGGCGGGCCAGCAUCGGUUUGGGCGGUCGCUGAAAGGCCCCGGGAAUGUAGCACCCUCCGGGGUGCCUUAUAGCCCGGGGCGGCAUGCGGCCCGCCGGGACCGAGGCCCGCGCUUCGGCGAGGAUGCUGGCGUAAUGGCGGUCAACGGCCCGUCUUGAAACACGGACCAAGGAGUCUAACAUCUAUGCGAGUGUUCGGGUGUCAAACCCGUCCGCGCAGUGAAAGCGAACGCCGGUGGGAACCCCUCUGGGGCGCACCAUCGACCGAUCCUGAUGUCCUCGGAUGGAUUUGAGUAAGAGCAUAGCUGUUGGGACCCGAAAGAUGGUGAACUAUGCCUGAAUAGGGCGAAGCCAGAGGAAACUCUGGUGGAGGCUCGCAGCGGUUCUGACGUGCAAAUCGAUCGUCAAAUUUGGGUAUAGGGGCGAAAGACUAAUCGAACCAUCUGGUAGCU
RNAcentral lists this ribosomal RNA (852 nucleotides) under Talaromyces trachyspermus. Its description in RNAcentral is "LSU rRNA". It matches the Rfam family "Eukaryotic large subunit ribosomal RNA", at positions 85 to 952 of the family's 3401-position model. The record is from RNAcentral. Lineage: Eukaryota; Fungi; Ascomycota; Eurotiomycetes; Eurotiales; Trichocomaceae.